UACGUAGGGUGCAAGCGUUAAUCGGAAUUACUGGGCGUAAAGCGUGCGCAGGCGGUUUUGUAAGACAGAGGUGAAAUCCCCGGGCUCAACCUGGGAACUGCCUUUGUGACUGCAAGGCUUGAGUGCGGCAGAGGGGGGUAGAAUUCCACGUGUAGCAGUGAAAUGCGUAGAGAUGUGGAGGAACACCGAUGGCGAAGGCAGCCCCCUGGGCUAACACUGACGCUCAGGCACGAAAGCGUGGGGAGCAAACAGG
This 253-nucleotide ribosomal RNA is filed under the name uncultured bacterium. RNAcentral describes it as "partial 16S ribosomal RNA". It matches the Rfam family "Bacterial small subunit ribosomal RNA", at positions 524 to 776 of the family's 1533-position model. The record is from RNAcentral.